AAACAUCCCUCCGCCUUUGUGCUUCUAGCCAGGAUAAACAUACUGACUGGUUUCUAUCUCUCUACAGGAAACACAUGCUUACCAGUUGUUACGUUCUAAUUGAGCCAGCAGAGGAACUUUUCCUUCUCUCUGAGUAAAUGAAACAUAUGACUUGGCUUCAGGUUCAGAGAACAGAAAAAGAAGCAGAUGAUAUGGUAGACAGACCUUCUGCAGGUAACAAAUUCCUGUUGUUUUUUUUUCACUUAAAGGAAAAAUAAAGCUUUUUAGUUGUGUUAAUUUGAUG
Molecule: long non-coding RNA, 283 nt
Filed under: Monodelphis domestica (gray short-tailed opossum)
Lineage: Eukaryota; Metazoa; Chordata; Mammalia; Didelphimorphia; Didelphidae
Description: lncRNA (ENSMODG00000031673.2)
Source: RNAcentral